UGUGAUACCGCAUGUUAUCGCGAGGUUUGGCUCAGAGUGUGAGAGGCUGCGAGAGCUGUGUGUGUUCAGAUGCGCAGAGAGCUGACUGAGCCACGUUUGUAGCAGCUGUGCCAAGUAGCCAGCGACAUAAGACUGCACGAAGCCGCAGAUGUAACCGUUUCAGACCUCCAAGAUGGCAGGCGGCCACGAGUUUUCACGGCGUUGCUAAGCCACAAUAAAGCGCCCGUUUGAAAGAAGCCGUGCCUGUGAUGUCGUCUUGGAGCCACA
Long non-coding RNA from Salarias fasciatus (jewelled blenny), 267 nucleotides. RefSeq lists it as uncharacterized. NCBI's taxonomy places the organism in Eukaryota, Metazoa, Chordata, Actinopteri, Blenniiformes, Blenniidae. The transcript has 3 exons. The record is from RefSeq and is a predicted model, not a curated record.